GGGGAAUUUUGGACAAUGGGCGCAAGCCUGAUCCAGCCAUGCCGCGUGUCUGAAGAAGGCCUUCGGGUUGUAAAGGACUUUUGUCAGGGAAGAAAAGGGCGGGGUUAAUACCCCUGUCUGAUGGCGGUACCUGAAGAAUAAGCACCGGCUAACUACGUGCCAGCAGCCGCGGUAAUACGUAGGGUGCGAGCGUUAAUCGGAAUUACUGGGCGUAAAGCGGGCGCAGACGGUUACUUAAGCAGGAUGUGAAAUCCCCGGGCUCAACCUGGGAACUGCGUUCUGAACUGGGUGACUAGAGUGUGUCAGAGGGAGGUAGAAUUCCACGUGUAGCAGUGAAAUGCGUAGAGAUGUGGAGGAAUACCGAUGGCGAAGGCAGCCUCCUGGGAUAACACUGACGUUCAUGCUCGAAAGCGUGGGUAGCAAACAGGAUUAGAUACCCUGGUAGUCCACGCCCUAAACGAUGUCAAUUAGCUGUUGGGCAACUUGAUUGCUUAGUAGCGUAGCUAACGCGUGAAAUUGACCGCCUGGGGAGUACGGUCGCAAGAUUA
This 548-nucleotide ribosomal RNA is filed under the name uncultured bacterium. Its description in RNAcentral is "bacterial SSU rRNA". It matches the Rfam family "Bacterial small subunit ribosomal RNA", at positions 356 to 896 of the family's 1533-position model. The record is from RNAcentral.